ACACUCAUAUUGGCUUUGCUAUCCACUAGUUUUUCGUACAAUUCAUGGGCUGUAGAUGUAGAUACAAAUUUGGGAUCUGAAACUGAGUUACUAACUCGGGAGCUUAUGGAAUCGGCGAGGCAACCCGAGUUCUUGGAUUGGUUGACAAGGACGAGAAGGAGAAUCCAUGAGUACCCGGAAUUGUCUUUUCAGGAAUACCAAACGAGUCAAUUUAUCCGAAAUGAGUUGGAUUCACUUGGGAUCAAGUAUUUGUGGCCAGUGGCUAAAACUGGUGUGGUGGGAACUAUUGGGUCUG
Molecule: unclassified non-coding RNA, 295 nt
Filed under: Hevea brasiliensis (rubber tree)
Lineage: Eukaryota; Viridiplantae; Streptophyta; Magnoliopsida; Malpighiales; Euphorbiaceae
Source: RNAcentral